UGUCGUAGUUCACACAAGUUACCACAUCCAAUUGAAGGCGUUGCGAGUAUUAUCUUUGUAGAAGAAAUUUUUGGCGGGCCGAAAGAUCUGUGUUUGUUAUUGUUUUCAUCGAAGUGGUACAUGCUGCAUGGAACUGUGGUAGUAACUCAGCAACAGGCUAUGAGGUGUAAUGAGUGACGUCGUGAUCACCGUAUUGUAUGUCCUUGAAAUAGUGUACACCGUGUUGAUGGCAUUACUGGUCAAAACAGUCAGGUGGAUUAAUGACUUACUGCCAAUCUACCUUUUAUAAUUCAGUAGUAGAUCACUUCAUGUAAACUGAUUUUGUUCUUCAGAUAUAGUUUGUGUGUAUUUCAAUUAAUUAAAAAUAAUGCUAUGUUCCAAGGACCAUUGGUCUCUUUCCAUUAAAAUGGUGUAGAUUACAUUGGUUUUACAUUC
Molecule: long non-coding RNA, 435 nt
Organism: Schistocerca americana (American grasshopper)
Lineage: Eukaryota; Metazoa; Arthropoda; Insecta; Orthoptera; Acrididae
Exons: 2
Source: RefSeq, a predicted model, not a curated record